Maylandia zebra (zebra mbuna) is the source of this 225-nucleotide non-coding RNA. The record is from RefSeq and is a predicted model, not a curated record. NCBI's taxonomy places the organism in Eukaryota, Metazoa, Chordata, Actinopteri, Cichliformes, Cichlidae.
GGGGAGAGGAGUCAUCAUCCAGGUAAAGUGACGUGGAUCAGUGGAUACACUUGUCUCCCCUUUAAAGGAGACGAUCCAAGUCAUCCUUAAAUAUGGGCAGCAUAUCAGUCUUGGACUGUCUAACCUGCCGGAGCAGCACUGAAUGACCACCGCACGAGCAUGUUCCUGCAACAUUCAGCAUCUGAUCCUUCAUCUGUGUGCUUCUGCUUUUGUGUCACAUGUCAA